GCACUGGUGGUUUAGUGGUAAAAUCCAUCGUUGCCAUCGAUGGGCCCCGCGUUCGAUUCGCGGUCAGUGCA
This is a non-coding RNA of Camillea tinctor, 71 nucleotides long. The record is from the annotation of a GenBank genome assembly. NCBI's taxonomy places the organism in Eukaryota, Fungi, Ascomycota, Sordariomycetes, Xylariales, Graphostromataceae.